This 582-nucleotide long non-coding RNA is filed under the name Homo sapiens (human). RNAcentral describes it as "HSALNT0048881". The record is from RNAcentral. Lineage: Eukaryota; Metazoa; Chordata; Mammalia; Primates; Hominidae.
GGAGGAUUGGAAAGUAGGUAGCACACUGGCUGUUCUGCUCUUCAUGUCUGCUGGCAAAGUCAGGAAAAAGGAUGGAUGUAUCCUCACCAUUUUUUCAAGAGGAACCUGCAGAGGGCUCAGAAACCAAGGCAGGCUCCUCGGGGGAGGCCACAGGAACUGUCCGCUUUGCUGGUGCUAGCAGCCCCAGGGACCCCUCACCAACAACCAUUUGCUCUUCUGGUGCCUGGCUAUGAAUCCAGUGUCACUUGAUUCUACUCAAUGGCUACCUUUGAGAUGUCAGGCUGGUCGCCUGAGUCAUGCAGUGUGCUGCUCCAGUUCCUACAGAUGCCGUGCCUCUUCCAGCAAACUCUGCUGCCCCCACAGAGCUCAAGAUCCUGCCUAUGAGUCACCACCAAGGGUUGGAGGCCUGUGUGACCUCCCAGGUGGUCCAGCUGCCUCUCCAGGAAGCUGUGCCAGAAAAGGCCUGCCAGGAACCAGCGGGCUGCCCUCCAAGGUUAAAAAUUUCCACAGACCAGUCAAAACCUUUUGGUGGCCGAGCGCAGUGGCUCACACCUAUAAUCCCGGCACUUUGGGAGGCCGAGG